RNAcentral lists this non-coding RNA (26 nucleotides) under Mus musculus (house mouse). Lineage: Eukaryota; Metazoa; Chordata; Mammalia; Rodentia; Muridae. The record is from RNAcentral.
UCAGUGAGUGCAUACCAUAUUUGUUC